RNAcentral lists this ribosomal RNA (445 nucleotides) under uncultured bacterium. Its description in RNAcentral is "bacterial SSU rRNA". It matches the Rfam family "Bacterial small subunit ribosomal RNA", at positions 354 to 796 of the family's 1533-position model. The record is from RNAcentral.
GUGAGGAAUAUUGCGCAAUGGAGGCAACUCUGACGCAGCCAUGCCGCGUGCAGGAAGAAGGCGCUACGCGUUGUAAACUGCUUUUAACCGGGAAGAAACCCCAGGACGUGUCCUGGGUUGACGGUACCGGAGGAAUAAGCACCGGCUAACUUCGUGCCAGCAGCCGCGGUAAUACGAAGGGUGCAAGCGUUAUCCGGAUUCAUUGGGUUUAAAGGGUGCGUAGGCGGAGCGUUAAGUCAGUGGAGAAAUCCUGCAGCUUAACUGUAGACUUGCCAUUGAUACUGGCGCUCUUGAGUGCGCUUGAAGUGGGCGGAAUGUGCCGUGUAGCGGUGAAAUGCUUAGAUAUGGCACAGAACACCAAUUGCGAAGGCAGCUCACUAAGGCGAUACUGACGCUGAGGCACGAAAGCGUGGGGAUCGAACAGGAUUAGAAACCCUAGUAGUCC